RNAcentral lists this ribosomal RNA (292 nucleotides) under uncultured bacterium. Its description in RNAcentral is "partial 16S ribosomal RNA". RNAcentral also lists the same sequence under 1 other name. The record is from RNAcentral.
GGACUACUAGGGUAUCUAAUCCCUUUUGCUCCCCACGCUUUCGUGCCUGAGCGUCAGUAAUUGUCCAGGUAGCCGCCUUCGCCUCUGGUGUUCCUCACGAUAUCUACGCAUUUCACUGCUACACCGUGAAUUCCGCUACCCUCUCCAAUACUCUAGCCAUGUAGUUUCAGGCGCAGUUCCGGGGUUGAGCCCCGGGAUUUCACACCUGACACACAUGGCCGCCUGCGCACCCUUUACGCCCAGUGAAUCCGAAUAACGCUUGCAGUCUCUGUAUUACCGCGGCUGCUGGCAC